This 536-nucleotide ribosomal RNA is filed under the name uncultured Bifidobacterium sp. Its description in RNAcentral is "partial 16S rRNA". Lineage: Bacteria; Bacillati; Actinomycetota; Actinomycetes; Bifidobacteriales; Bifidobacteriaceae. The record is from RNAcentral.
GGUGUUCUUCCCGAUAUCUACACAUUCCACCGUUACACCGGGAAUUCCAGUCUCCCCUACCGCACUCCAGCCCGCCCGUACCCGGCGCAGACCCACCGUUAAGCGAUGGGCUUUCACACCGGACGCGACGAACCGCCUACGAGCCCUUUACGCCCAAUAAUUCCGGAUAACGCUUGCACCCUACGUAUUACCGCGGCUGCUGGCACGUAGUUAGCCGGUGCUUAUUCGAAGGGUACACUCACCCCGAAGGGCUUGCUCCCGAUCAAAAGCGGUUUACAACCCGAAGGCCUCCAUCCCGCACGCGGCGUCGCUGCAUCAGGCUUGCGCCCAUUGUGCAAUAUUCCCCACUGCUGCCUCCCGUAGGAGUCUGGGCCGUAUCUCAGUCCCAAUGUGGCCGGUCGCCCUCUCAGGCCGGCUACCCGUCGAAGCCAUGGUGGGCCGUUACCCCGCCAUCAAGCUGAUAGGACGCGACCCCAUCCCAUACCGACGGAUCUUUCCCGGAAGGACAUGCAUCCAACCGGAGCAUCCGGCAUUAC